AGAACGCCAUGGCUGUGCAGGUAGUGCAGCCCCUCCACCAGCUGCUGGAUGUAGACCUUGACCUGCGGCAAGGGCUGCUGUUCAGGCGGUCCAGCAGCUCCUCGGAUGAGCACCUAGGAUCCCAUCAAGGAAAAGCAGGCUUGGGAGGCUGAAACCUGCCUGUCCCCAGAAACCCACACUCACAAUGAGGCAGCCAGGUCUAUGGGAGUGGGAAGCGGCUGGUAUGGGCAAAGGUGACCACCCUGAUCCCCAUGGAACCCAAUGCUGUGGUGUUGACGGGAGCUGCUCCGUGGACCCAAGACUAUUGAACCACACCCACCCAGGGACAGGGUCCUAUGGACACCAAGUUCACCGCCACUUGCCUCUCCCCAGUGGAGGGUUCUGGCCCCUCUGAGGAGACACGGUGAGUAGAAUGUGGGGGUCCCAGGCUGGGGCAGGGCUGGGACAGGCUGGGAGGCCUUUGCAGAUGUGCAAAUGCCCCCCAGCCCUGGGCAGGGGGCAUGGGGA
Long non-coding RNA from Gorilla gorilla gorilla (western lowland gorilla), 507 nucleotides. RefSeq lists it as uncharacterized. The transcript has 4 exons. NCBI's taxonomy places the organism in Eukaryota, Metazoa, Chordata, Mammalia, Primates, Hominidae. The record is from RefSeq and is a predicted model, not a curated record.